UAAGGGCCUAUAGCUCAGCUGGUUAGAGUGCACCCCUGAUAAGGGUGAGGUCACAAGUUCAAGUCUUGUUAGGC
This 74-nucleotide transfer RNA is filed under the name Campylobacter lari NCTC 11845. Its description in RNAcentral is "tRNA-Ile". It matches the Rfam family "tRNA". Rfam says of the family: Transfer RNA (tRNA) molecules are approximately 80 nucleotides in length. Their secondary structure includes four short double-helical elements and three loops (D, anti-codon, and T loops). Further hydrogen bonds mediate the characteristic L-shaped molecular structure. tRNAs have two regions of fundamental functional importance: the anti-codon, which is responsible for specific mRNA codon recognition, and the 3' end, to which the tRNAs corresponding amino acid is attached (by aminoacyl-tRNA synthetases). tRNAs cope with the degeneracy of the genetic code in two manners: having more than one tRNA (with a specific anti-codon) for a particular amino acid; and 'wobble' base-pairing, i.e. permitting non-standard base-pairing at the 3rd anti-codon position. The record is from RNAcentral. Lineage: Bacteria; Pseudomonadati; Campylobacterota; Epsilonproteobacteria; Campylobacterales; Campylobacteraceae.